This 271-nucleotide ribosomal RNA is filed under the name uncultured prokaryote. Its description in RNAcentral is "partial 16S ribosomal RNA". It matches the Rfam family "Bacterial small subunit ribosomal RNA", at positions 524 to 794 of the family's 1533-position model. The record is from RNAcentral.
UACGUAGGGGACUAGCGUUAUCCGGAAUUACUGGGCGUAAAGGGAGCGUAGGCGGACUUUUAAGUGAGAUGUGAAAUACCCGGGCUCAACUUGGGUGCUGCAUUUCAAACUGGAAGUCUAGAGUGCAGGAGAGGAGAAUGGAAUUCCUAGUGUAGCGGUGAAAUGCGUAGAGAUUAGGAAGAACACCAGUGGCGAAGGCGAUUCUCUGGACUGUAACUGACGCUGAGGCUCGAAAGCGUGGGGAGCAAACAGGAUUAGAUACCCGCGUAGU